Molecule: ribosomal RNA, 273 nt
Filed under: uncultured bacterium
Lineage: Bacteria
Description: partial 16S ribosomal RNA
Rfam family: Bacterial small subunit ribosomal RNA
Source: RNAcentral
UACGAAGGGGGCUAGCGUUGUUCGGAAUUACUGGACGUAAAGCGCACGUAGGCUGUGUCGCAAGUCAGGGGUGAAAUCCCAGAGCUUAACUCUGGAACUGCCUUUGAAACUGCGAUGCUAGAAUCUCAGAGGGGGUAGCGGAAUUCCAAAUGUAGGGGUGAAAUCCGUAGAUAUUUGGAGGAACACCGGUGGCGAAGGCGGCUACCUGGAUGAGUAUUGACGCUGAGGUGCGAAAGCGUGGGGAUCAAACAGGAUUAGAUACCCCGGUAGUCC